GACAAGUCUGGUGUCAGCACCCCGCGGAAAUACCAGCUCUAAUAGCGUAUAUUAAAGUUGUUGCGGUUAAAAAGCUCGUAGUUGGUUCUGUGUGCCAUGCUGUUGGUUCACCGCCUGCCGGUGUAACUGACAUGUCAUGGGACGUACUGUCGGUGGUGAUUUAAAGAACCGAUUUUUGGUUUUAAGGUAAAAACUUAAACCAGAAAGAGGAAAUCUUUAGUUGCCGAUUAACUCCUACCGCGGUGCUCUUUACUGAGUGUCGAGGUGGGCCGACAUUUUUACUUUGAACAAAUUAGAGUGCUUAAAGCAGGCAAAAAUCUGCCUGAAUAGUGGUGCAUGGAAUAAUAGAAUAGGAUCUUGGUUCUAUUUUGUUGGUUUUUAAGAAUCCAAGGUAAUGAUCAAUAUGGACAGGCGGGGGCAUUCGUAUUGCGACGUUAGAGGUGAAAUUCUUGGAUCGUCGCAAGACGAACUAGAGCGAAAGCAUUUGCCAAGUAUGUCUUAAUUGAUCAAGAACGAAAGUUAGAUGCGCGAAGGCGAUCAGAUACCGCCCUAGUUCUAACCAUAAACGAUGUCAGCCAGCGAUCCGUCGAUGUUUUUUUCAUU
This 603-nucleotide ribosomal RNA is filed under the name Schizoptera (Lophopleurum) sp. 56 SL-2016. RNAcentral's name for it is "bacterial SSU rRNA". It matches the Rfam family "Eukaryotic small subunit ribosomal RNA", at positions 554 to 1073 of the family's 1831-position model. Lineage: Eukaryota; Metazoa; Arthropoda; Insecta; Hemiptera; Schizopteridae. The record is from RNAcentral.